CUAAAAACAUAAGGACAGGAUGCGGUGCAAGGGGAUUUACCGGUACAUUUUGCAAAACAGACCUUCAUGUCUACCUAAAUCGAGUCGAAUCAACACCCCAAACCCAGAUCAUCUAUCCCCUUUUCCCCUCUGUACUGUACCGCUGCUCGAGGUCGCCGGCUGAGUUAGGAUUAACUGAAAAAAUUGGGCGAAUCCCUCUCUCCCUCUCCCUCUUCCUCUCCUGUACCUCGUCCUCUUCGGUUUCCAGCGUUCUUUUGUUUUUGCGGGGUGGUUUCCAGCGUUCAAGCACAAGCGCCCAAGAUCCGGAUCACGAUGUCCAGCGGUGGCUCGCUGCCAUUGUGUCUCUGUAGCGAGCUCUGUGGAUCGACGAUACGGCCGCAUAGGAGCGGACCAUCGUCCUUUACAGCUCGAGGAUCCAAGGCCUAUUUGUUGCUGGAUGGCGGUGCUGAAACAGUGAAGUGAUGUAAACAUUGACAUGACCCAUGCCUGAAGUUUGAGAAACCUCAAAUGGACAAUCAGAUAUGAUCUGGACUAGUAUGAGAGGUGAAUUAUCAAUUUCAUCAGCUGCUAUCUUGGAGGCAUAUGAAGAUGACUCCUCUGAAAAUUAUCCAGUCAACAACCAUAUUUCAUCUACAGAACAUAUAAAUGGAUGACGGGUAGAAGAUUAGCACUUGGUAAUUCCUUAGCAACGAUGAUCAGUCAUUUUAGGACAACCAUCAGUCAAUCGCACAACACAUGAAACAAAUUGGCAGCUACUAGCUAGAGCUAGUGUUAUGUGUUCAUAUAUCAUGAUUUUCAAACAGAUUAUGGGAACCUCCAAUAUAUGAGGUUUAAAGGUUUUGCAAACGGAUUAUAACACCGAUAUUCUGCAAGUCAUGGGUUACUACAUUGCAUAUAUGGGACUGAAAACAUCAGUUUUGAGGAAAAAAUGAACUAGAUAAUAAAAUCAGGAAGAUGAACUUGUAAUGGUUUCACGAAGUUUAGUUGGACAUACUAAGUACACUUUCUAUUUAAUAAUGUUCAAAACCCAGUUUUAUCUACAACAGUAUGUGAACAUUCAAUAUUUUAUAUAUCUUCAUUAUGUUUCGCA
Triticum aestivum (bread wheat) is the source of this 1090-nucleotide long non-coding RNA. RefSeq lists it as uncharacterized. Lineage: Eukaryota; Viridiplantae; Streptophyta; Magnoliopsida; Poales; Poaceae. The transcript is spliced from 2 exons. The record is from RefSeq and is a predicted model, not a curated record.